RNAcentral lists this ribosomal RNA (468 nucleotides) under uncultured bacterium. RNAcentral describes it as "partial 16S ribosomal RNA". It matches the Rfam family "Bacterial small subunit ribosomal RNA", at positions 28 to 507 of the family's 1533-position model. The record is from RNAcentral.
GACGAACGCUGGCGGCGUGCUUAACACAUGCAAGUCGAACGGAAGGGCCCUGCUUUUGUGGGGUGCUCGAGUGGCGAACGGGUGCGUAACACGUGAGUAACCUGCCCUUGACUUUGGGAUAACUUCAGGAAACUGGGGCUAAUAUCGGAUAGCAGCUCCUGUUGCAUGGUGGGGGUUGGAAAGUUUCGGCGGUCGGGGAUGGAUUCGCGGCUUAUCAGCUUGUUGGUGGGGUAGUGGCUGACCAAGGCUUUGACGGGUAGCCGGCCUGAGAGGGUGACCGGCGACAUUGGGACUGAGGUACGGCCCAGACUCCUACGGGAGGCAACAGUGGGGAAUAUUGCACAAUGGGCGGAAGCCGGAGGCAGCAACGCCGCGUUCGUGAUGACCGCUUGCGGGGUGUGAACCGCUUUCGCCUGUGACGAAGCGUGAGUGACGGUAAUGGGUAAAGAAGCACCGGCUAACUACGUG